UUGCAGGCUGCAACUCGCCUGCAUGAAGUCGGAAUUGCUAGUAAUCGUAGGUCAGCAUACUACGGUGAAUACGUUCCCGGGCCUUGUACACACCGCCCGUCAAACCAUGAGAGUUGGCAACACCCGAAGUCGGUAGUCUAACCGCAAGGAGGACGCUGCCGAAGGUGGGAUUAGCGACUGGGGUGAAGUCGUAACAAGGUAUC
RNAcentral lists this ribosomal RNA (203 nucleotides) under uncultured bacterium. RNAcentral's name for it is "partial 16S ribosomal RNA". It matches the Rfam family "Bacterial small subunit ribosomal RNA", at positions 1298 to 1500 of the family's 1533-position model. The record is from RNAcentral.